AUUGAACGCUGGCGGCAGGCUUAACACAUGCAAGUCGAACGGUAGCAGGAGAAAGCUUGCUUUCUUGCUGACGAGUGGCGGACGGGUGAGUAAUGCUUGGGAAUCUGGCUUAUGGAGGGGGAUAACUACGGGAAACUGUAGCUAAUACCGCGUAGAAUCGGAAGAUGAAAGUGCGGGACCGCAAGGCCGCAUGCCAUGAGAUGAGCCCAAGUGGGAUUAGGUAGUUGGUGGGGUAAGGGCCUACCAAGCCUGCGAUCUCUAGCUGGUCUGAGAGGAUGGCCAGCCACACUGGAACUGAGACACGGUCCAGACUCCUACGGGAGGCAGCAGUGGGGAAUAUUGCGCAAUGGGGGGAACCCUGACGCAGCCACGCCGCGUGAAUGAAGAAGGCCUUCGGGUUGUAAAGUUCUUUCGGUAUUGAGGAAGGUUGAUGUGUUAAUAGUACAUCAAAUUGACGUUAAAUACAGAAGAAGCACCGGCUAACUCCGUG
This 490-nucleotide ribosomal RNA is filed under the name uncultured bacterium. RNAcentral describes it as "partial 16S ribosomal RNA". It matches the Rfam family "Bacterial small subunit ribosomal RNA", at positions 30 to 507 of the family's 1533-position model. The record is from RNAcentral.